GAUGAACGCUGGCGGCGUGCCUAAUACAUGCAAGUCGAGCGAACAGACGAGGAGCUUGCUCCUCUGACGUUAGCGGCGGACGGGUGAGUAACACGUGGAUAACCUACCUAUAAGACUGGGAUAACUUCGGGAAACCGGAGCUAAUACCGGAUAAUAUAUUGAACCGCAUGGUUCAAUAGUGAAAGACGGUUUUGCUGUCACUUAUAGAUGGAUCCGCGCCGCAUUAGCUAGUUGGUAAGGUAACGUCUUACCAAGGCAACGAUGCGUAGCCGACCUGAGAGGGUGAUCGGCCACACUGGAACUGAGACACGGUCCAGACUCCUACGGGAGGCAGCAGUAGGGAAUCUUCCGAAAUGGGCGAAAGCCUGACGGAGCAACGCCGCGUGAGUGAUGAAGGUCUUCGGAUCGUAAAACUCUGUUAUUAGGGAAGAACAAAUGUGUAAGUAACUAUGCACGUCUUGACGGUACCUAAUCAGAAAGCCACGGCUAACUACGUG
Molecule: ribosomal RNA, 497 nt
Filed under: uncultured bacterium
Lineage: Bacteria
Description: partial 16S ribosomal RNA
Rfam family: Bacterial small subunit ribosomal RNA
Source: RNAcentral